RNAcentral lists this unclassified non-coding RNA (381 nucleotides) under uncultured Pseudomonadota bacterium. Its description in RNAcentral is "uncultured proteobacterium contains 16S-23S intergenic spacer region". The record is from RNAcentral. Lineage: Bacteria; Pseudomonadati; Pseudomonadota.
UCCGGUUUGACACCGGCAGUCCCAUUAGAGUGCCCAACUUAAUGUGGCAACUAAUGGCAAGGGUUGCGCUCGUUGCGGGACUUAACCCAACAUCUCACGGCACGGGCUGACGACAGCCAUGCAGCAUCUGUGCUGGUUCUCGACUUUACGAGUCGUUCCCCUUUCGGGGUUCUACUUCCAGCAUGUCAAACCUAGGUGAGGUUCUUCGCGUUGCAUCGAAUUAAACCACAUGCUCCACCGCUUGUGCGGGCCCCCGUCAAUUCCUUUGAGUUUUAGCCUUGCGGCCGUACUCCCCAGGCGGGAUGCUUAACGCGUUAGCUACGUUGCCGCAGGGGUCAAUACCCGCGACGACUAGCAUCCAUCGUUUACGGCGUGGACUAC